GAAAUAAUCCGGACCCAUCAUGGAUCAUAAUUUUAUGGUAUUAUGAUUUAUGAUACCUGGUGUAUAGUCCUGUACCAUCAAAAAGAAUUGGUAAGAUCACUUAUAUAGAAUCCCGAUCCUAACAUCAAAAUUUGUUAAUAUCUGAAAUUAAAUCCAUGAGUAAUUAUAUAUGUUUCUUCAGUUUAAUUCGACAUCUUUUACUCUUUGCAUGACAUCUGACCAUUAAAUUGUUUUAAAUUAUGAUUAGAUAAUGUUUGGAGUUAAGUUGAAAUGUCGAAUUGACAUUGACAUGAAUAAGUAGACUCGAGUUUACAAGAAUUAAUAAAUUUAUAAAAAUAGCAUUGUAGAUUUCUUUUCAAGACCUUGUUUAACUUUUUAAUACAUGCAUUUUUUUACUCAUUACGCUGCAAAAUCCCCCCCCCCUUCAAUUCUUGACACAGUGUCAAACUCAUUUGUUGUGUUUAAGCUCUUGCAAUGAUCUAUAUAAGCUGCCAGCUUUUGUAUAAGAGGGCCGGGUUAGAGAAGUAUAUCGUGUCAACUGCGCCAAUGAAAUCCUUUUAGAGUAAACUAGAGCAAAUGAGAAGCUUUAUGAGCCCUAAUACCAUUUAAGAUUUCCAUUGUCCUUCCUACCCUGUCAAAUGAACACUCAAGCUCAUAUAGAAGUGACAUGUGUGGUUGUUGCAUCAAGAAGCAACCUUAAGGGAGGAUUUUGCAACAGGGUUAGGCUUGUGGGUUCGUUAGGCCCUUCACACAACGUGUGCUUGGAGUAUUGCUUGAAAUGGAGAGAGGAGGUUUGGGCAUCAAUCACUCCCCCAAGUGGCCAAGUUGAAACCAGGAGCAGCACUGUGACAGAACAAAACAGAUGCCAACUUUUCUGACAUGGGCCUCAACUUUUUUUCCUAGAGUCACUCCACAUAGUAGAGGCCUUAAUGUAACUAUUUUUCUUUUAGGGGAUAAUUGCAACUCAAGAUGACUACUAGGAGCUUGAGCCGUGCACACAUGCGUUAGUGGCAAGCUUGCACCUACUCUGAGCAGAGGAGGGCACAGUUGGAGCUUGCAAGGACCACGGUGUGGAGCACUGACGCUUAGGGAUGCAAACAGGCUAACCCAGAUAUAGGGCUGAAUCAUGUUGGCAACUGUAGCAUAGACUAUAAGUGGGUUCGCAGGCUAGCCUGCUUGAUUUGCAGCAAUAUAUUAUGGUGGAGGGAUGCCAUUGACCUUGUUGACGCCGGAUUUCGUCAUCAGUAGAAUCGGCGCCAAAGAAGAAAGAAAUCGAAGGAAUACGAGUGGGGAUCGGCCAAAAGGUGCUACAAUGCGGAAUCGGUCAAGUGGCUUUUACUUCGCUUCAGGGUGAAUGCGCCAGGUUCCCAAUCGGCAAUCCUUUAAGAAAUCGGCCGAUCGGGAAGGUGGAUUAAGGUGGGCCUGUAUGGGCUUGGAAAGAUGGAGGGAUAAGGUGGAGUUCAGCCCACGGAGUGUGGGGUAAUUAGUUUAGUACGGAUUGUGCUUGUAGAUAUUUGUUUUCUGUUUGAAUUAGAGAUAGAGUCCUAGUCGGUUAAGAAGAUUAUUUGUACGGGGCUAUAAAUAGCUACCUUUGUAAAUCUGUAAACACAACAAUCAAUCAAUACAACAAGUUACUUUCUUCUGCGCAUCUACUUUUGAGCAGGCGACUUCGCCAUCAAUUUUCUUUCUCACGAGUUCGUACGGGUUGGCAGGGCUGCAUCGUCUUGAUCUCCGGCCGAUUCUGUAAGUUCCGUUUAUCGAGUAAUAUCUAGGCUUUGACUUCCGGCGUAUCGCUGUUGUUUCGUCUAGAUUUAUUCACCAGUUAUCGAUAUUGACUAGAUUCAUAGGUUUUUACCUGCCUUCCUAGUUUUUAUCACCAGUUAUCCCGCUAGGAAUCGGUAGUAUCGGCUUUCAUUACUUCCUGUUGCCAGAUCCAUCUGUUGCCGAUUAGAUCUUUUCCUAGUGCUGUUAUUACGUGCCUUGUACCGAUUACUUUAAUAUUUUUCUAUCUACAAGGCUACGGGGAUCGUGCUGUCUCGUGGCCGAUUUCUUUACCAUAGUAAAUCGGCUGAUCUGCCGAUAAACUCUCUCGAUCGGAAACUUAGCCGAUCGUAGUUACUGAAUUUGACACGUGUUCUUCCUUGCCAAUCAACAGGUCAGAUUGGCUGGCACGCCGCGUGAACCGCACCAGGGCAUUCACCCGAACAGGAGCUAAGCAGAUUCUCCCGGGUCGUGUGUCGGUCGCUGGGAUUCGGUUGACCGAGUUCUAGCGCCAACACACUUUUGGCACGCCCGGUGGGACCAAUACAACCGCUAUCAUGUCGAAAGCUGCUGAAGUCUCCGAAGAUAACGUCAUCGAAGUGACGGAAGCAGAUCUAAAGGACGACCAAAAAGAAGAUCUGAAUCAGUAUUUGGAGCAAGUCCGGAAAACUUGCUUGAAAUCCUUCAGUCGUUCCAGGAGCGGGGAAACUGUUAAAAAGUCUCCUUUCCCUACUCCCCGCCAGAUCACGAUUUCAGAAGAUUCGGACAAAAUGUCCGAUAUGAUUCAGCAAUCUCUUCAUCACGCCUUCAUCAACCAAUCCCCGGUACUUUCAAACAUGGUGCACAAUGCUGUUGUCAACUCCUUCGCCGGAGGUAUACCACAAGGGUACAGGGGGCCUACGUAUUUUCAGCCGAUUCCACCAAAUCAGGCUUAUCGGGCUUCACAGCCGAUCCAAUCCUCUGUCGGAGGAUCGGUGCUUCUACGUCAUCAACUCCUUUGGGAUACGGCUCCAUCCAGCCGUCCACUGCACCACUCCCUCCAGUCAUCCCUUUACCCUGGGGGGCACCCUUAAACACGACCGGUUUGAAUCAAUCGGUCAGCCAAGGAAAUCCUCCGUUCCAGACACCCUCCCAAACGGCCACUCGGCCGAUCAUACCACCAUACCAGCCUAUCGCUCCGGAGGUCAACAAGACGUCAGAGCUCAUGCUAUAUGAUGAAACGAGUGGUGCCUACAAGCAGCCGUCCUUUACUACACCGCCGGCUUAUACUCAGAUACCACCUUUUCAUCAACCUCCUUUUAUUCAACCUCCGAUUUAUCAACAUGUGCCGAUUCCGCCGCCGAUUAUUCCCCAACAACAACCGGAUUGGACGGCGCAAAUCGCGGAGGUAAUGCAAGAACAAUUCGGCCUGAAGCCGAAGGUGCAAACUUAUACCUACAGGACACCAUACCCAUCCACGUACGACUUGUUGCCGUUUCCCCAUCGGUACAAAGUUCCGGAUUUCACUAAAUUCUCCGGAAUGGAUGAUACUUCUACCGUGGAACAUGUGAAUAGAUUCAUCAUCCAAUGCGGAGAAGCAGCUACGCAAGAUGCCCUGCGGGUACGGUUGUUCUCGUCAUCUUUGUCUGGAUCGGCUUUCCAGUGGUUCACCACUUUGCCACCAAACUCGAUUAUCACAUGGGCCGAUCUAGAGAGGCAGUUCCACAAGUACUUCUAUGCUGGAGUCCACGAAAUGAAGUUGUCUGAUUUAACUAGCCUCCGGCAACGAAGUGAUGAGCCGAUACCCUUGUACAUACAGAGGUUUCGGGAAAUCAGAAACAAAUGUUACUCCUUGGCUCUAACCGAUGCACAGUUGGCCGAUAUAGCUUUCCAAGGCCUGCUGCCACACAUUAAAGAAAAAUAUGCUUCACACGAGUUCGAGAGCUUGAGCCAGAUCGUCCACCGAUUGUCCGGGCAAGAGGUGCGUCCAUUUGAUCCAAGGAGGAAUUUCUAGAAGAAAGUAGCAUUCCUGGAAGAAGUAGAGGAUGAAGAAGACGCCGAAAUCGGACUUGCAGAGUGGAUUAAGGGAAAGAAGCCAAUAUCAUGCCCGUUCGGCAAAAAGGAGCCGGAGGCAUUCGGUUUCGAUACUACUAAAGCUGACAAAAUAUUCGACCUUCUACUCCAGGAAGGACAGAUUAAACUCUCGCCUUACCACACGAUACCCUCUGCCGAACAGUUGAAGAAGAUGAAGUAUUGCAAAUGGCACAAGGCCACGUCACAUGAUACCAAUGAGUGCAAAAUCUUCAGACAACAAAUACAGUCGGCCAUUGAGCAGGGCAGACUCAAAUUUGAAGUGCCGGCAAAACCGGCCAAACCAAUGAAGAUUGAUCAGCAUCCUUUUCCUACCAACAUGGUGGAUACGGGUAAGAAUCCCCUCCAGACAAAAGUGCUGACAUCCGAAUCGGCAAAAAGGAGUGGCGCUGUCGAUCCCAGGAAUCAAGUCACGUCUGAAGACAUCAAGGGGAAGCGACGGAUGAAGGCCGACGAUGGUGAACCAGAAGGACCACGCAUUACUUCCCAGUUCCUGCUCCAAAAAUACCAACGCCAACAUGAACGAUCAAGGUCCCGAGAGGAAGCAAUGCGUCGGCACGAGGAACACUGGAGAUGCCCAUUCUUCAUCCAUUGUUGGGAAAAUAACCUCAGACUUCCAUCAGCCGAUACUUGCCCAGAGUGCAACGGCCCCUAUCGAAGCAAUCGGCCGUUCACAAGGUCUCGCUCCAGAGACGGAAGGCCAGAACCGAUCAGCAGGAAUCGGCGUAACCCAGAUGAUCAGCGCCCUUCCAUACGUGAUCGGCUGGGGGGCAGAAGUGACCGAUAUGAUCGGUCAGAAGGCAGAAGCCAUAAUAGGCAGGGGGGCAGGACCGAUCAACACGAUCAAUCAAAUAGCAAAGCCAGCGUUCACAGCCGGCUCGAAGACAUGGCCGAUGCUCGGGUAACGGACGAGAACCCGUUAGGACGCGAACCAGAAUGGGAACGCGCCGGGAAAGAAGGGAGGCCAAUAAACCCCAGAUGGUGCCCCGACGGUUUAACCAAAUCACAAAAACGGAGAGUCCAACGCCUCCACCAAUGGGAGCAGCAAGAAGAAGAGGGCACGAUGGACAAAAAGCAAGAAAGGCCUCAGGUGUGGCGCCCCAAAAGAAACGACAAGGGCAACGAUGAGUCGGCGGGCGACGAAUCGGCAGCCGAAAUCGGUAUGGUCUUCAUAUUGCCGAUGGAGUUUAUGACCCCUGCCGAUCAACAGGAUGUGUCGGCGAUAGAGGAACAAACAGCACGGUUGACUUUAGAACCGAUGAUGGCCACGUUCGAAAAGCCCGAAGACGACGAACGACAACAUAUGAAGGCAUUGUUCCUUAAAGGGCAUGUUGACGGACGCCCCCUCACUAAAUUGAUGGUCGACGGGGGAGCCGCCGUCAAUAUCAUGCCGUAUGUCGUACUUCGGAAACUAGGAAAGAGCGACGACGACCUGACCAGGACGGACAUGAUGCUCAAGGACUUCGAAGGCAAGGUGUCAAACGCUCGUGGUGCCCUCUGCGUCGACCUCACCAUCGGCAGUAAGACCCUUCCUACCACGUUUUUCAUCAUUAAUGGCAAAGGGUCCUAUAAUAUGCUUCUUGGACGAGACUGGAUACACGCAAACUGCUGCAUACCGUCAACUAUGCAUCAAUGCCUGGUACAAUGGGUCGGCGACAACGUCGAGGUGGUCAAAGCCGACUCCGCGUACAGCAUCGCAGCAGCCGACGCACAGCAAUGGAGCUGCGAAACCGUCAGGUGCAUAUUAGGUAGGGUGUGGGAAACUGAUUUCCUGAAGGUCACCGAUUUUGGCCUACAGCCGAUCCGAGCAGUCGGCUCUGAAGAAGCGCAAUAAAUGGAUCAGUUCGCCCGAGAAGACGGGAAGCUGGGACACGGAUUCACGUCGGCCGAUUCAUUAGAAAUGGUAGAUUUAGGUGACGGGACCAAGCCAAGGCCGACUUUUAUUAGUGCAAAUUUAGAUCCAGAGUACAAGUGUAAAUUGACAAAUUUAUUAAGAGAAUUCAAGGAUUGUUUUGCGUGGGAGUAUCACGAGAUGCCCGGAUUAGAUCGAUCUAUUGUUGAACAUCGGCUACCCAUAAAACCAGGGUAUCAGCCGUACCAACAACCCGCACGGCGAUGCAAUCCUAAAAUUUUACCAGACAUAAAAGCCGAAAUAACUCGGCUAAUUGAAGCAAAAUUUAUUCGGCAAUGUCGUUACGCCGAGUGGAUUUCUAAUAUCGUACCGGUGUAUAAGAAAAAUGGGAAGCUGCGCGUUUGCGUCGAUUUCAGAAACCUUAAUCAGGCCACACCAAUGGAUGGCUACCCCAUGCCUACGGCCGAUGUACUGAUCGACGCUGCCGCGGGGCACAAAAUUAUUAGCUUCAUGGAUGGGAACGCCGGAUACAAUCAAAUACUUAUGGCCGAAGAGGACAUACCCAAAACGGCUUUCAGAUGUCCAGGCCAUCUUGGUCUAUUCGAGUGGGUGGUGAUGACUUUCGGUUUGAAGAAUGCUGGUGCUACGUAUCAGAGGGCCAUGAACUAUAUUUUCCACAAACUCAUCGGCCUCCUGGUGGAGAUCUACAUCGACGACGUUGUGGUCAAGUCCAAAAGCCACGAGGAACACCUAGCCGAUUUGCGAAGGGUCCUAGAGUGUACCAAAAAACAUGGUCUUAAGAUGAAUCCCAACAAAUGCGCUUUCGGCGUCUCCGCCGGACAGUUCUUAGGAUUCAUGGUGCACGAACGAGGCAUUGAAGUCAAUCAGAAGACCAUAGCGGCUAUCAACAAAGUCGUCGCCCCACAGAACAAAACUGAGCUACAGUCUCUAAUCGGCAAGGUAAACUUCAUCAGAAGAUUUAUAUCUAAUCUAUCUGGACGGAUCCAGGCGUUCACACCACUUCUGAAGUUGAAGCCAGACCAAGAAUUUAUUUGGGGAGAAGAACAGCGCGAGGCGUUAGAAGACAUCAAGCGAUACUUGGUCUCACCCUCGGUCCUGGUUCCCCCUCAAACGGGUAAGCCGUUUAAACUAUAUUUAUCAGCCGGCGAAAAAGCUAUUGGGUCGGCUCUAGUCCAAGAGUUUGAAGGCAAAGAACGGGUGAUUUAUUACGUUAGUAGAAGACUCCUGGAUGCCGAAACAAGAUAUCCUCCAGUGGAGCGUUUGUGUUUGUGCCUUUACUUCUCGUGCACCAAACUCAGACACUAUCUACUGUCGGCAGAGUGUAUAGUCGUAUGCAAAGAUGAUGUAGUGAAAUACAUGCUGUCACUGCCGAUAUUGAAAGGGCGAAUCGGAAAAUGGAUUUUAGCUCUAUCAGAAUUUGACCUACGGUACGAAUCGGCAAAAGCCGUCAAAGGUCAAGUCAUGGCCGAUUUCGUUGCCCAGCACUGUGGGCCAGAGAUUGCCUUCGUGGAACUAGCUCCUUGGCAGUUAUUUUUUGAUGGAUCAUCAUGCGGAGUCGGAUCGGGAAUCGGCAUCGUUCUCAUAUCGCCUCGGGGGGCAAGAUAUGAUUUUUCUCUGCCGAUAGAAACCGCCGCCACAAACAAUCAAGCGGAGUACAGAGCCGUAUUAAAAGGCUUACGAUUAUUGAGGGAAGUCAAGGCCGAUUCUGUUGAAGUCUUCGGAGAUUCGAUGCUAAUUGUGGAUCAACUAACCGGAAGGGCUGAGUGCAAAGAUGACAUAUUACGAAUUCAUCACGAAGAUUGCUUACAGCUUUUAAAAGAAUUCAGAUCGGCAGUAAUCGAGCACGUCCCAAGAGACCGCAACGAGGAAGCAAACAAACUCGCUCAACACGCAUCAGGGUAUCGGCCGAUUCCAGGCGCCAUGGCCUUAGAGCUUGCAGCCGACGAUUGGCGUAAGGAAAUUGCCGAUUACCUGAAGGAUCCAUCUAAAAAGGUGGAGCGACGAGUGCGCUUUCACGCUACCAAGUACGUACUGCUCGAAGAUGAUCUGUUCUACCGAACGAUCGAUGGUGUUCUUCUUAAAUGCCUUGGGACAGAAGAAGCCAAGACUCUAAUGGGAGAAAUCCAUGAAGGGGUAUGCGGAGCUCACCAAUCGGCACAUAAGAUGAAGUGGAUGAUCAGAAACAACGGGUACUAUUGGCCUACGAUCCUCGAAGACUGUUUUAAAUAUUAUAAGGGUUGUCAGGAGUGUCAAAAGUUUGGAAAUGUCCAACGUGCACCCGCGUCGGCCAUGAAUCCCAUCAUCAAACCAUGGCCGUUCAGAGGAUGGGGAAUAGAUCUUAUCGGCCAAAUUUAUCCACCAUCAAGCAAGGGGCACAAGUUUAUUCUGGUUGCUACCGAUUACUUCACCAAAUGGGUGGAGGCAAUCCCACUAAGGACUGUGACUUCAGCUAUCAUGGCCGAUUUCGUAAGGGAUCAUAUCGUCUACCGAUUCGGCAUCCCUCAAACUAUAACAACCGAUCAAGGAACAAUGUUCACAUCGGGGGAAUUUGAGGAAUUUACGACCGAUAUGGGCAUCAAGUUGUUAAAUUCUUCUCCAUAUUACGCUCAGGCCAAUGGUCAAGCAGAAUCUUCCAACAAAGGAAUAAUCAAGUUGAUCAAAAGGAAGAUUGAAGAAUACCCGAAGAAGUGGCACCUAUGUUUGACCGAAGCCCUAUGGGCAUACAGAAUGGCCUGUCAUGGGGCCACCAAGUUAUCUCCCUAUCAGUUGGUAUACGGUCAGGAUGCAGUACUUCCGUGGGAGUCAAGGGCAGGAUCAAGGCGCAUUUUACUUCAAGACCAGUUGUCAGCCAAUGACUACUCGUCUCUUAUGAAGGAAGAACUUGAUGAUUUGGCCGGCCAACGACUAAGGGCUCUGAUAAGUAUCGAAGAGAAUAAAAAGAGAGUGGCCAGGUGGUACGAUAAAAAGGUCAAAGUCAAGCAGUUCUCCCCCGGAGAUUUGGUAUGGAAGUUGGUACUACCGAUCGGGUCGAAAGAUCCUAAAUUCGGCAAAUGGUCUCCUACCUGGGAGGGGCCGUAUAAAAUCGGCAAAUGCGCUCCAGGGAAUGCCUAUAUCUUGGAAACAAUAGAAGGAGAAGAAUUCACUAGAGCUCUGAAUGGGAGGUACUUAAAAAGAUAUUACCCAAGUAUAUGGGUCGGUGCCUAAGGAAUCAACACGAUCAUACAUGACCGACACGAUUCGGUCUUGAGACACACAUAAAGUCGACCGGAACGGCCGAUUACAUUCAUUCGGUAUGGGCGACGGGUCACAUGGCCGACAAAAUGUUUAGUCGCCCUUAGAACAAAAAAUACAGCAACUAAUUAUUCUUUUUCUUACGCUCCCUCUCAGCCCGACCUAACUCUAUCAUGAGUCGGAUGUAUUCUUCUUCUAUGGCCUUCAUUGAAAUCUCCGCCUCGACUUGACGGGGGAGAUCUACGGGAGGGCGUGAAGUCCCCGCUCCCGCAUCUUCAAGAACGACUUGCCGAGGGAGUGGAUGACUCCUGCCGAUGGGAGGUCGCCGGCUGCCGUUCCUCUCCACGAAGUCCAGGAUCGUUCGGGCCUCCGUGGCAAUGUCGUCUUCAAGAUCGCCACAACGAUUGCUCCUGACAGGUGGAGAUUGAUGGUUACUUUCACUCACCACGGAAUCCAAGACUACGCGAGCCUCCGUGGUAACGUGGUCCUGGAGCUCCUCUCGGUGAGCCACGAUCAGCAUCUUGUCCUCCGAUGUUAAUGGAUCUUCGAAAUGAAUGCGCUCAAUGGCGCGCACGAGCUCGGGGCUAAGACGUUGAUGCUGAAACAAAGAAGGAAUGAGGGGGAUAUCCUUCCCCUUAGGGUCUAAGAAAGAAAGGAAGGUAGAGGUCAAAGACUUCACCUGGUUAACAGAGGAAGAAGAAGACGACGAGGCCAUGGCAGAGAAAUUGCGCCGAUGAGAAGGGGCAGAAAAGUUAAACCGAGGGCCAAGAUUGGUGCUACCAGGAGUAAGCGCCGAGGUUGGUAUUUAUAAAAGAAUGCGUGGAAAUCUGGUAAAGCUACGUCCCAUUGGUAAUAAGAAGGCAAUAAAUAGAAAGGGCGUCGCGAGGGGCGGUCAAAGAAGAUAGUAAAUGAUUCGUACAAAACGGUCAGUGUUUUUACAGAUUACCCAGAAGGGUAUCGAUAGUCGUGAUGGCCCGGCGCCGGAUCUGAUCGGCAGAGUCAAGAACCCGUUGGUCUUCUUCCGCCGAUCCAGGAACCUCCGAUGCGCUGCGAUGAAGUCUCAGUGCCUCGUGAGCAAAGCGUUGCCUCUCCCGUGUUAAAUCGGCAAUAACAGAAGGAAGCUCUUGGAGUUUGUUCUCUUCGGCACUGAUUGCCUUGGUCACUUGCUCCAUUUCCUUGGCAAGCUCCGCCCUCCGACGUUUGAGACGGUCUAUCUCACCUAUGAUCGCCGGGCGGGAGUCUUCUAGAACAUGGAUACGCCGAUUCGCCUCUUGAGCCUGACGCUUGAAAGCGUCUUCCUCUUCGCGAGCCUUGGUCAGCUUGGCGCGAUCGGCCAUGUGACGAAGGGCUCUGAAGACCGGGAUCCUCAUAGACUCGAUGAAGGCUGCCGGCGCCAGGGCCUCCUCCGCCUCUUCUGGUACUCGUCCGCUGACGUCAUUGAAGAGCUGCCGAAUCGGUGAAGCGUCUUCUACUAAUCGGCCGAUGUCCCCUUGAAGGAGGGAUCGGAUGCUGGAAAGUUUGGCUCGGACGUCAUCAGGAACAGAACUCAAGGCGACUUGGCGAGAAGCAACUUCUUCGUCGUCAGAGAGGGCGACCGCAAAAGAAAAGAGGCUGUUGUCGGGGGUAUCCUGUUCCUGAUGAUAAUAAAGAAAAGAAAUAAACCAGCUGUAAGAAAGAGCAAAUCGGCUGAGAUAGAAGCAGAAGCAGAAAAGUUACCAUUUUGAAGCGAAUCUCCUCAUGUUGCACUUGAGAAGCCGCCAUGCCUUGCUCGGGGGCCUGCGUCAUGGGUUCAUCAGAUGAAGAGGACUCCACGAUAAUCGGCGCCGUGCUUGGACCAGCCCCCUGAAAGGAAAUCGGCGAUCGAGGAGCGAUUGAUGUGCCGAUGGCCUGUGUCAGAAGUUUGAAUAAAUACGGUACGUGAAUGCCCAAAGGAAAUCGGUACGAGAAGUUCUAUACCGUAACGGAAGGAAACGGGGGCGCGUCAAUAGCUGGAGGGGCUGCUGCCGAUUGUGGUACUUCUGUAGGAAUGCUCUGUGCAGUUUAAAGAUAAAAGAAAAGUUAAUAUCAAAAAUAAUAAUCGGAGGCAUGCGCAACUCAGUUUUACCUGUAUGGCCUCCAACAACAACGAUGCGGCGGCCGCCCCAGCUUGCGUCAUAGCUUGAGUAUCGGCACCUUGAAUGACUUGAGGAGGUGGUACGGCCGAAGUUUCUGCCGAUACGCUCACAGGAGGAUCCGCCGAUCCCGUACGAGCCCGGACUCGGCGACUGGUCUUCUUGGUAGUCCUUUUAUGAACUUGUUUCGAUCGGCCAGUAAUCACGUCAACAGACGGGGCGUUAUAGCCGAUAAGGGGAUAAGUAGUGUAUGGAUGACUCUCUAUCAGUCGUCCGCUGCGGCUGUGUGUUGGAGGGAUCCGAUUCUCGGCCUAAAAUAAUAAAAUCAUUAGUACUCGAUCGUGCUAAGAGGAAUAAAAGGGAAUAAAAAUCGGCUAUGUGAAGUACCUCGGCGUUUGGAUCAAUGUUGGUCGGGUCCAGAAGAUUGCAGUAUGCCGAUGCUGAGUUGCAGAAGAGGAAUUGCUUCCAAUCAGCCCACCAGAGUUUGAACGGCUGGACAGCAAAUGGAGCUACUAGCCAGUCGUUCAAGUUAAUUGUACUGGAGUCUGGAAUUCGGUCUCGCAACCGACCGUAAUCUAGGCCAGAUGUGAGAUCAUCUCUAAACUUGAUUUUGCCAGCAAAGUACACCUGAAUCGGCAGCUGAACCAUGCCGAAUUGUCGUGCUGCAGCAGAAGGGUUGUAGAAUUCGUACGUAGGGGCAUCCUUCCCUGAGAAGAAGUUGGCCGGUAGGAUCCCUGGCUUGAUCAACCCUUCAUAGAGAUCUUCAUCAAACCGGCCAGAAGUUGAAUCAAAGCAGGAAGGGAGCUCGAAGAUGGGAAUGUCUCGCUGAUAUGGAAACCAGAUAGUUGCGUCCUCAUUAAAUCCAUUAUAAAAAGACCGAAAGUACUCGGCUACCUUUGUAGCGGAAUACGCACAACCUGGAAAAGCUGAUGCUGCUUCACCAUAAGACAUGCAUCGGCGGCGCUCGGUAGGGUCUUCUGCCGAUUCAAUAUUGGGAAAUGUCAUGCGGUCCACUGGCUGCCGAGUGAUCCUGUUCAUAUAAAGGUUCAACCAUAAAUUGACAAACCACCAAGGCCCACCUGGGUUGCCGAUUGGUUCUCCCUUGGAAAGUUUUGUGCCGAUUUGGUGGAGCAUGUGGUACACAGCACCCAGAAGAUGUUUCCCGAGAGGAAUAUGGCUUCCUUUGGACAGUGCCUCGGCUAAAGAUUGGGUGUUGGUUGUUGGGCCGGCGGCUCUUCCACAGAAGAGGUGUUUUUCGAGCCACAUCAUCAGGAAAGCGGUGUGCUCCCUGUUAUCAACAGUACCGGUCUUCUUAUUAUCAUUAAUAAAGCCCUUCCAGCCGCCGAUUCUUCUUGUGUCCAGCCGAUGCGAUGGUACGGUCAGAAGUUGGAAAGGCGUGUCAGGGGAAGAUACAUCUAGGCCGGUCAAGAGGACCACAUCGGCCAGAGUGGGGGUCAUGGGACCGUGGCCAAAUAAGAAUGCAUUAAGUGCGUCAGACCAAAAAUAGGAAGCCGCCAUCACUAGCGGUUCGUUUUUUUCCAUUUGCGACAGGGAAAGGUUGAUACAUUGGCCGAUUUUGAGCUCAUCCCACGAGACGCUCCUUGAUGCGGCUACCCGUUGGUACCAUUCCCUCCAACCUGGGGUUUCAUUCGGCCAAGAUCUAAAAGUGCUGGCCCAUUGAUCUAAGUUCAUAUCAGAUCGUUUGAAAGGUAUCCGAUCAGUUUCCAAGUUUAUGAGGUCUGCUGGAUCCGGGUCUCCCAUGGGACCAAGACAAACAAGGCCAGGACUACCCAUGAGAUGAAUAGUAAUUCUAUGUCUAACCGCCUAAAAAAGGAAAAGGGGCAUAAGAAAUAUAAAGAGUAGAUCUAAGAUAAAUACGUUACCGAUAGAGGAAAGAUUCGGUAUUUACCUCCGGUAUAAAAUUCUGAGUAAUCGGUGUAGUCGUCGAUGCAGAUGCGGAUGAUGGAGUCGCAAUGGGGAUCGCCAUUGGGAUCUCUGAUGAAGCUCCUUCAUCUGUGGAUGGAGUGACGGUUGUCGCCACCGUUACCGAAGGCGCUACCUCUACCGGGGGCAUUAUUCCUGGAGCAUCGCGUGCUGGGGAAUUACCGGAGGGAGUCGCCAUUGAAGGGAAAGGGGAAGAAGUGAUUGGAGCUGAAACUGGAAGACUUCGAUGGCAAGAUUGAAGAAAGAAGGAGAUGCGCGCGCUGGAAAAGGAGAUGCGAGCUUGAAGAUGAGUUGCGGUGAAAUGAUAUUUAUAGGGUGCCUGAAGAAAGGGUAAAGAUGGAAUUUUCACCGCGCCGGCGCAUCGAGAUUUUUGGGGUAGUGGCUGUCGUGGGCGCCCGUUUCAAAAAAUUGCAAUGAUCAGCCGGGAGACCGCGAAACGGAUAUUUUCACUGCGGCCGUUUCGGAGGAGAGGUUAUAAAGAAUUUCGAAGUAAAAGAUUAUGUUUUACUCCGAAACUGGGGGGCAUGUGUUGACGCCGGAUUUCGUCAUCAGUAGAAUCGGUGCCUAAGAAGAAAGAAAUCGAAGGAAUACGGGUGGGGAUCGGCCAAAAGGUGCUACAAUGCGGAAUCGGUCAAGUGGCUUUUACUUCGCUUCAGGGUGAAUGCGCCAGGUUCCCAAUCGGCAAUCCUUUAAGAAAUCGGCCGAUCGGGAAGGUGGAUUAAGGUGGGCCUGUAUGGGCUUGGAAAGAUGGAGGGAUAAGGUGGAGUUCAGCCCACGGAGUGUGGGGUAAUUAGUUUAGUACGGAUUGUGCUUGUAGAUAUUUGUUUUCUGUUUGAAUUAGAGAUAGAGUCCUAGUCGGUUAAGAAGAUUAUUUGUACGGGGCUAUAAAUAGCUACCUUUGUAAAUCUGUAAACACAACAAUCAAUCAAUACAACAAGUUACUUUCUUCUGCGCAUCUACUUUUGAGCAGGCGACUUCGCCAUCAAUUUUCUUUCUCACGAGUUCGUACGGGUUGGCAGGGCUGCAUCGUCUUGAUCUCCGGCCGAUUCUGUAAGUUCCGUUUAUCGAGUAAUAUCUAGGCUUUGACUUCCGGCGUAUCGCUAUUGUUUCGUCUAGAUUUAUUCACCAGUUAUCGAUAUUGACUAGAUUCAUAGGUUUUUACCUGCCUUCCUAGUUUUUAUCACCAGUUAUCCCGCUAGGAAUCGGUAGUAUCGGCUUUCAUUACUUCCUGUUGCCAGAUCCAUCUGUUGCCGAUUAGAUCUUUUCCUAGUGCUGUUAUUACGUGCCUUGUACCGAUUACUUUAAUAUUUUUCUAUCUACAAGGCUACGGGGAUCGUGCUGUCUCGUGGCCGAUUUCUUUACCAUAGUAAAUCGGCUGAUCUGCCAAUAAACUCUCUCGAUCGGAAACUUAGCCGAUCGUAGUUACUGAAUUUGACACGUGUUCUUCCUUGCCAAUCAACAGGUCAGAUUGGCUGGCACGCCGCGUGAACCGCACCAGGGCAUUCACCCGAACAGGAGCUAAGCAGAUUCUCCCGGGUCGUGUGUCGGUUGCUGGGAUUCGGUUGACCGAGUUCUAGCGCCAACAGACCUGUUACAUGCCUUUACAAAGUAAGAGCAUGUUAGCAGAUCCUUACUCCCCAAUCCAACUACCAUAUUGGGAGGGUUAACGAAAAAUAGUGUUCCAGCAGAUUCUUUUUUACUUUUUUCCAUUUCACAAUAGUUAUUGGGACAAACUAAUAAUCCACCCUAACUUAUCCUAAAAAAAGAGUAUCUCAAUACGGUAGUUUGGAUUGUGAUUAUUGGGGAACUGCAAAAACAACUUUUCCGAUAACCAUAAAAGAAAUAUUGGGACAUUUCCAUUAGCUUGUUAUUAGGAAAAAUUGAUUGGAAAACUGUUGAAGAUGCUCUAAGGGAUUCUCAAGUUGGCGUGCGACUGCGCACGCGGUGGGGGGAGCACAAGCAACCCAAUAUGACCUAAUUUUAGCCCAAGUUAGGUUUAGUUGUGGCCGAACUAACAUCCAUGUUCUAUUUUUUUUCCCUUUCUUCAUUCUUUUGGGUUUUACAUUUUCUUGUCCUUUUCUUUAAUUAUUUCCUUUUAUAUUAUUCUGCAUAUUAUUUUUAUUUCCUUUAUAUUUAUUAUUUGUUUCUAUUAUUUGUUUUGUUUUCUUUUCUGUUUUUUGACACCCGGCCCAAUUUGGUUGGCCCAGUGUGGCCCAUUAGCGCAGGUGCGCAUGUUUAGUACCACAUUGCUAGUUUAGCAAGGGUGGAGGCAACUUAUAAGCCUUCGUCAACCAGCCAUAGUACCUUCGGGUUAACCCUUUUACACGAAGCGAGGACGAAAGUGUAAGCAGGGUGCUAUGUGUACGUGUGCCCGCCCCUCGGAAGGGUUGGGCGGUGCGGCUUUGGAGGACGGGGUGUUACAGUUUUCCUUUUCUACUAGGAAAUUCUAACUUUUCAUUUAUUUUAUUGUUUCCAUUUUUAUUAUCUUUUAUGCUUCUUUUCUUUUUUAUUUUUAGUAACAAUUUUUUUGUAUAUUUUGUUUGCUAGUAAGAAUAAUUUAUUCAAUUAGUUUUCUUUAUUGUUUCACUCUAGCACUACUUUAAAAAUCAUUUGUGCAUACGAUCAUUCUAUUUUUUUUUUACAACGGUGCUUAAUAACAACCGUCUCUAGCAAGGGUUCCAAAAAUACAAGUAUCUAUAGAGGUGGGCCACAUAAUUAAGUAAUUGUCUGAAAAUCAAUUCGAAAGGCACGCCACCUAAGCUACCACUACUAGAAAUUGACUUCUAGAGGCAGGCCUAAUAAGCAACUGCCUCUAAAAAUGUAAACAACCAAUUUUACAUAAAAAUAAUAGCCUUUAUUUAAUGAAGAAGAAUGAAGACAAAUUUACUAGCAUAACUAUAGAGCUCGAUGACAUCUAAAACUUCAUAGUUCAUAACCUUUUCAUUUAAGACUAUUUACAGGCCCAAAUAAAAUUCAUCACCAUUUCUUAUAUUUAUUUUUAAAAAUAAAUUAUGAUUUCCAAAAUGGCCUUGGAAGGAGAUGUGCUCUUCACAAAAGUUGUAGUGCAUGACGAGAUCUAAAAAUUUGUAAUUGAUAUUUUUUUUUCAAAUUUAUGAUCGUUAGAGUGUCAAAUGCAUAGUACAAUAUUCAGAGAAGUGAAAUCAAAAGAAUCCCUCAUAUAGUUAAUAUGUGUUUCGUAAAGAGAGCUACGCGUGAAGAGAGCUGUCAUACCAUGAAUUUUUUGGAAUUCAGGAUCUGACUAGAAAUAAUAAUUAAACAAUAAUUUUCUAAUAAUUUAAUUUUUUCAACAUUUAUUUUCUUGAGAGGAAAUUUAGUACUGGAAAAUGAUUGGUUGUUUUUUCUAAAUUAAAUAAAUUAGUUCUUUGUGUGUUGGAUUCAUGCCGAGGCAUCUUGGUGUUUCAUGAGUGCAGACAUUUUAAAAAUGCGUUUCUAUAACAUUUAGGUUCUUCUAAGAAUUUUCCAAAUUUUUCUAGGAUCUAUUCUCAUUUUCCUAGAG
RNAcentral lists this long non-coding RNA (16507 nucleotides) under Setaria italica (foxtail millet). RNAcentral's name for it is "long non-coding RNA (SITA_LNC004353)". Lineage: Eukaryota; Viridiplantae; Streptophyta; Magnoliopsida; Poales; Poaceae. The record is from RNAcentral.